AGGAUGUGGGAAGGGCCCUGUGGAAGCUACUAUCUUUAUACCUAUCCGGUCUCCUGAGGAUAGAGCUGCCCUGACGGUGGGAUUCUCUCUGCAUAAGACAGGACUAUUGCUGAACAAAGCAAGAUGGUAGAAUGUCAACAUAAGAACAAGCUGGGAUUUAUGUCCACAGUGUUGACCGCCGCUUGGCCCUUGCUUGGAUUUCGAUUUCACGUUGUAAAUUAUGCUUUUGAGUGUGUCCUGCUCCAGGAGUUAGGACCACCUUUCCAAGGGUGGCAUUAUCCAGAGUGGGCUUGGCCUUCUCACGUCAAUCAAUAUUCAAGGAAAUGCCUGACAAGCUUGCCUAGAAGCCAGUCUGGUGGAGAGAUUGUUUUGUUGUUGCAGUUGA
Arvicanthis niloticus (Nile rat) is the source of this 385-nucleotide long non-coding RNA. RefSeq lists it as uncharacterized. Lineage: Eukaryota; Metazoa; Chordata; Mammalia; Rodentia; Muridae. The record is from RefSeq and is a predicted model, not a curated record.